RNAcentral lists this unclassified non-coding RNA (377 nucleotides) under Tragia cordata. RNAcentral describes it as "partial external transcribed spacer". The record is from RNAcentral. Lineage: Eukaryota; Viridiplantae; Streptophyta; Magnoliopsida; Malpighiales; Euphorbiaceae.
CAUGCUCGUGUGCAUCGAACUGUUGAAAGGCGAUCUCAUCAUUGGAAGCCCAUGCACGUUCUUUUGUGCUAUGGGUAACGGUCGGGUUCCUGUGCUGCGUACCCACUAAAGUGGAAAUCGAUUAUGUUGGUAGGUUUACAUUCGCCCAUGCCUGUCAAGGGCAUGCGGUGAACAUGGAAGCACCACUUGUGUUCCAAACAUGUUCAUGCAACUGUUAUGGCACAUUGGUAGGUUGCUCGUGGUCUCGGAUGCGGAAAUUGUUUUGUAGCUGAGGGAUCGGAUCUCUCAAUUGCUCGAAAUGUCCAUUAUAUACGAACGACAUGCAACGCUUGUUUCCAUAGGGAUUGGAGGCAGCGUUGCGUUCGUGAAAGGAAUGC